RNAcentral lists this small nuclear RNA (318 nucleotides) under Propithecus coquereli (Coquerel's sifaka). RNAcentral's name for it is "7SK RNA (ENSPCOG00000008987.1)". It matches the Rfam family "7SK RNA". From Rfam's summary of the family: 7SK was discovered as an abundant small nuclear RNA in the mid-70s but a possible function has only recently been suggested. Two independent studies have found that 7SK RNA binds the CDK9/cyclin T complex (known as elongation factor P-TEFb). Lineage: Eukaryota; Metazoa; Chordata; Mammalia; Primates; Indriidae. The record is from Rfam by way of RNAcentral.
GGACACGAGGGCAAUCUGGCUGCAGCAUCCGUCACGCCACUGAUGGCCGGGGUUGAUCCGGCUGAUCUGGCUGGCCAGGCGGGUGUCCCCUUCCUCCCUCACCGCUUCACGUGCGUCCCUCCCGAAGUUGCGAGCUCGCUGGGCGACAGAGGAUGGCCUUCCCGGAUAGCGGAAGACCGUUCUUCGGUCAAGGGUACACGAGUACCUGCGAUCCGCUGCUAGAACCUCCAAACGAGCUAUCGCAUAUAUACUCCGUAUUCGAACUCCCCUAAUGUCUCCACACAUUUUUAACUGCAGUAAAAUAGACAUAACUAAGUU